RNAcentral lists this unclassified non-coding RNA (387 nucleotides) under soil metagenome. Its description in RNAcentral is "partial contains 5.8S ribosomal RNA, internal transcribed spacer 2, and large subunit ribosomal RNA". The stretch from base 1 to 120 matches the Rfam family "5.8S ribosomal RNA", at positions 35 to 154 of the family's 154-position model. The record is from RNAcentral.
GAUGAAGAACGUAGCGAAAUGCGAUAAGUAAUGUGAAUUGCAGAAUUCAGUGAAUCAUCGAAUCUUUGAACGCACCUUGCGCUCCUUGGUAUUCCGAGGAGCAUGCCUGUUUGAGUGUCAUGAAAUUCUCAACCUUUUCAGCUUUCUUUGUUGAUCAGGCUUGGAUGUGGGAGUAUGCGGGCUUCUCAGAAGUCGGCUCUCCUGAAAUGCAUUAGCGGGACCUUUGUUGCCUGGCUUUGGUGUGAUAAUUAUCUACGCCAUUGUGGUCAAGCAGCUUAAAAUGAGGUUUCAGCUUCUAACCGUCUCCCCUGAGACAACUUUUUGACAAUUUGACCUCAAAUCAGGUAGGACUACCCGCUGAACUUAAGCAUAUCAAUAAGCGGAGGA